This is a non-coding RNA of Pantherophis guttatus, 1577 nucleotides long. Lineage: Eukaryota; Metazoa; Chordata; Lepidosauria; Squamata; Colubridae. The record is from RefSeq and is a predicted model, not a curated record.
AAGAGGGCGAAAGUUGGGAGAGCCGGCAGCCCGAGCUGCAGAUUCGUGAGAGCGUAUCAUAAGGGAUCCUAUCCGAUCCUACAUUGACUAUCUUAGGCUAAAACUACACCAAAGAGAACUGCUUAAUAGAAGAAAAGUAUUUAUUUUCCCUCCAUUAUUGAAGAUUACACUAUUUGAACCAUCCUGAAGACGGUUUCUUUUAAUUACAUGGGCACGUACAGGAUUCCAAAACUAGAUUUAUCGGAUGAAAUUCGAAAGCGCCAACUUCUUAUGAAGCUUUGUUUCAUUCGGCAGGAACAAAAUAAUAAGAACAUCCCGCAUUGCCUAGGAUACUAGCGGCGAAAGCCAAGGGCGAGUUUACGUGGCAUCGCUCGAGUCACUCGAGGAACAAAGCCAGAGUUUUCCAGCGGUAAUCAGAUUGGUUGUAUUAAAGAAAAGGGCGUAGCUAGCAAAUACAUAAAUAGAGUACUACUAAGCUUAUCCUCCCUCUUCCCGCGAACACUUGGAGUGCCUGUUUUUUUGUCUAGUUGUGCGCCGUUCAAUCAUCCACAUGAGCACUCCUACAAACUAUUGGUCUCAUGAAGAGCCAGAACCUGCCCUUCUGGCUGGUAUGCCACCACUCCAGUGGAGGAAAAAGAUGUCAAAGAGCAGCAGUGGAGGGGAGGAUCAAAAGGGCAGAAGGAGGGAGAGAUAGGCAUAUGGGAAAAUGGAAGUAGCACAGAAGAACAGCAGAAGUGUGAUGUCAUUGCUUAAUGACCACUUAGUCAUGACCUAACAACCAGGAUCUUUCUGGACACUAAGGUCAGUUAGCUUUUGAGGCAUUAAGGCACUCUCUGAUACAAUAAAUUAUAAAUCUGCCUAAGAUAAACUUGUGUUUGCUCUGCAAAAUCAUAAGCAUCUUUGCUGUAUAAUCUUGUGUUUAUUAUAUGAGUGCUGAGUUUUCUUUGAUUAUCACCAUUUUUUAAGCUCACUUUGCCAGUAUAUGAGUCAUCUGAAGUCUUGGCAAGUCUGGGGGUCAACUGAUGAUAAAAGAAGGUUGUUUAAAGCUGUUAGACAUAUCUGGUUAUUAAUAGAAAAGUAAUUAAAUUUUGACUUGGAAUUUUGAGACAAUGCUAGCACUUUCUUAGAGAGUGAAGAAAGUUAAUACCCACCCCUCCUAGAAGAAUGAAAUAUUAAAAGGGCAGAAUAUUAUAUUUCCCUGGAUGAGAAAAGGAGAAACAUGUUUUAAAGGUAAAGCAGCUCCAUGCAUCUCCCUGCGUCCCCUUCAGCUCCAGGGUGAUGGGAUUAAAACAUGGCCCUCAGGACAUGAUAGGAUUAGCCCUCUAUCAAUCUAACAACAGAACUCACUACUUGGCACCUGGGGAGAUUGCAUCACUCAGCAGGAUUCAACCAAGUCUGGGACUCAAGACAACCUACAAAGUUACCCCUACAUGACUCCAUGGGAGCCUGACAACCAAUCAGAAUACAUUCCUUACACAGGAACAGGAAGCUCCAAGAUGGGUAUAAAUCUCUCUCUCACCCAUGUGAACCUCAAACCAUGUGCUCCUGUCCACCAUUAAACCAUCUUUCCAAACAGC